UUUUAGCAUGGAAUAAUGAAAUAGGACUUUGGUCUUAUUUUGUUGGUUUCUAGGACCGAAGUAAUGAUUAAUAGGGAUAGUUGGGGUGGUUCGUAUUUAAUUGUCAGAGGUGAAAUUCUUGGAUUUAUGAAAGACGAACUUCUGCGAAAGCAUUCCACAAGGAUGUUUUCAUUAAUCAAGAACGAAAGUUAGGGGAUCGAAGAUGAUCAGAUACCGUCGUAGUCUUAACCAUAAACUAUGCCGACUAGGGAUCGGUGGAUGUUAUUUUUAUUUCAUGACUCCAUCGGCACCUUACUGAGAAAUCACAAGUCUUUGGGUUCCGGGGGGAGUAUGGUCGCAAGGCUGAAACUUAAAGGAAUUGACGGAAGGGCACCACCAGGAGUGGAGCCUGCGGCUUAAUUUGACUCAACACGGGGAAACUCACCAGGUCCAGACACAAUGAGGAUUGACAGAUUGAGAGCUCUUUCUUGAUUUUGUGGGUGGUGGUGCAUGGCCGUUCUUAGUUGGUGGAGUGAUUUGUCUGCUUAAUUGCGAUAACGAACGAGACCUUAACCUGCUAAAUAGCCCGUAUUGCUUUGGCAGUACGCCGGCUUCUUAGAGGGACUAUCGGCUCAAGCCGAUGGAAGUUUGAGGCAAUAACAGGUCUGUGAUGCCCUUAGAUGUUCUGGGCCGCACGCGCGCUACACUGACGGAGCCAGCGAGUACUCCCUUGGCCGGAAGGCCCGGGUAAUCU
This 733-nucleotide ribosomal RNA is filed under the name uncultured fungus. RNAcentral's name for it is "bacterial SSU rRNA". It matches the Rfam family "Eukaryotic small subunit ribosomal RNA", at positions 802 to 1552 of the family's 1831-position model. Lineage: Eukaryota; Fungi. The record is from RNAcentral.